RNAcentral lists this ribosomal RNA (474 nucleotides) under uncultured bacterium. RNAcentral's name for it is "partial 16S ribosomal RNA". It matches the Rfam family "Bacterial small subunit ribosomal RNA", at positions 28 to 523 of the family's 1533-position model. The record is from RNAcentral.
GAUGAACGCUGACAGAAUGCUUAACACAUGCAAGUCUACUUGAUUCUACUUCGGUAGUUGAUGGUGGCGGACGGGUGAGUAACGCGUAAAGAAUCUGCCCUUUAGUUUGGGAUAACCUUUGGAAACGAAUGCUAAUACCGGAUAUUAUGGAGACGUCGCAUGGCGACUCCAUGAAAGCUAUAUGCGCUAGAGGAGGACUUUGCGUCCCAUUAGUUAGUUGGUGAGGUAAUGGCUCACCAAGACCGCGAUGGGGAGCCGGCCUGGGAGGGUGAUGGGCCACAAGGGAACUGAGACACGGCCCAAACUCCUACGGGAGGCAGCAGUGGGGAAUGUUGGACAAUGGGCGCAAGCCUGAUCCAGCCAUGCCGCGUGAGUGAUGACGGCCUUCGGGUUGUAAAGCUCUUUUGUCCGGGAAGAUAAUGACUGUACCGGAAGAAUAAGCCCCGGCAAACUUCGUGCCAGCCGCCGCCGUAA